Molecule: long non-coding RNA, 754 nt
Filed under: Setaria viridis
Lineage: Eukaryota; Viridiplantae; Streptophyta; Magnoliopsida; Poales; Poaceae
Description: long non-coding RNA (SVIR_LNC009591)
Source: RNAcentral
ACUUGACCUGUCCUUUGUAGCCAUGUUCCUUGUGGCCGCUGAGCACGAAGAAACAACGUACGUGAAAUUAGGCAAGAAUAGGGCCCCUUAAUUUGGACUAAAGUAAUUGUUAGAUAUACAGUUGAGGAUAAUUCCCUAGUAGGGCCGACAAAUUAGGUGUAAACUUAUUAUUUCGAAAAUAAAAAUGUCAUAUGUUUGGAACCCAAGUUUUAUUUGAAAGAAUGCUUUUGUAGGAAACAGCACAACCCCUAGGUCCUAAGCAAGCUGUCUGAGUUCUCAGUCUGACUUUCCUUCCAUGGAGUUGUAUUUCUAUAUUCCAUUUUAUAGGACUUCUCAAUGUACACAUGGAAAAACCAAUUUCAUAUGAUUUUUUAGUUGCACUUAGGAAAGAGAAGAUACAUAUGCAAAAACUAACCUCUGCAAUUUUUGAAAAUCAAAAAGUUUAAUUUUUUGAAAAGUUAAAGGGUAGGCCAAUGGACUAUACCGAUCACUCGAAAUUUUAUUUAAUAUUUAGUUAAACAAUUAAAUACCUUCAACAUUAUUGCAUAGUUCCUAGUCUGAUUAAUUCCCACCAAACCACGCAUUUGUUAGAUCAUUCUUGUGAUUUCCCUGGACGACCUGUUGUGAGCCUUGUUAUGACUAUCACUUAUCCGUGACAUUGUCUUAUCCGCAGGGAGAAACGUACCACGGUACCAGCAUAUGGUCUCCAGGUACUCAAUUACAUGAGCUUGGAUUAACAUUGUCCACACAUUCA